Molecule: long non-coding RNA, 390 nt
Organism: Fukomys damarensis (Damara mole-rat)
Lineage: Eukaryota; Metazoa; Chordata; Mammalia; Rodentia; Bathyergidae
Exons: 4
Source: RefSeq, a predicted model, not a curated record
CAGUCCGUGAGCAGCAGAGUUCGAGUGCAGAAUGAAGCCGUCAAGGCUCCAAAGCAUUCGGUUUUCUGAAGCCAGAGAGGUGAGAUACGAUCCUGUCUCCUGCAGAGCGGUACCGAUCCGGAGGGGAAACACAUUCUGCAGUGGACUUUGCUGCUUUCUGUGACACCCUGUGGGUCAGGACAAAGAAAGGAGGAAUGUGGAACCAUGCAUCCAGGACAUCUCGUAGCUAAGGCAGCAUUGGAGGAAGAGAACUCUGCUCUCUAAUCAUGAGUAUGAAGACACCACCAGCAGCAGCAGCCUUCAUUAAUCUUCUUUGUUCUGGUCUUUACUAAGUAGGGUUGGUGGAGUAAGGAAUGUUGUGAACCAAGGUGAAAUAUAAGAAGAAGGCAA